Molecule: ribosomal RNA, 466 nt
Filed under: uncultured bacterium
Lineage: Bacteria
Description: bacterial SSU rRNA
Rfam family: Bacterial small subunit ribosomal RNA
Source: RNAcentral
GGGCCCGCACAAGCGGUGGAGCAUGUGGUUCAAUUCGACGCAACGCGAAGAACCUUACCUGGGCUCGAACGGCUUAAGACAAACUUUGGAAACAGAGUCUUCUCGCAAGAGACUUGAGUCGAGGUGCUGCAUGGCUGUCGUCAGCUCGUGUCGUGAGAUGUUGGGUUAAGUCCCGCAACGAGCGCAACCCUUGUCCUGUGUUGCCAUCAUUCAGUUGGGAACUCGCAGGAGACCGCCAGCGAUAAGUUGGAGGAAGGUGGGGAUGAUGUCAAGUCAUCAUGGCCUUUAUGUCCAGGGCUACACACGUGCUACAAUGGACGGUACAAACCGCUGCAAACCCGCGAGGGGGAGCUAAUCGGAAAAAACCGUUCUCAGUUCGGAUUGCAGGCUGCAACUCGCCUGCAUGAAGCUGGAAUCGCUAGUAAUGGCGUAUCAGAAUGAUGCCGUGAAUACGUUCCCGGGCCUU